RNAcentral lists this ribosomal RNA (460 nucleotides) under uncultured bacterium. RNAcentral describes it as "partial 16S ribosomal RNA". It matches the Rfam family "Bacterial small subunit ribosomal RNA", at positions 338 to 795 of the family's 1533-position model. The record is from RNAcentral.
CCUACGGGAGGCAGCAGUGAGGAAUAUUGGUCAAUGGACGAGAGUCUGAACCAGCCAAGUAGCGUGAAGGAUGACUGCCCUAUGGGUUGUAAACUUCUUUUAUAUGGGAAUAAAACAGGGUAUGCAUACCCUCUUGUAUGUACCAUAUGAAUAAGGAUCGGCUAACUCCGUGCCAGCAGCCGCGGUAAUACGGAGGAUCCGAGCGUUAUCCGGAUUUAUUGGGUUUAAAGGGAGCGUAGGUGGAUUGUUAAGUCAGUUGUGAAAGUUUGCGGCUCAACCGUAAAAUUGCAGUUGAAACUGGCAGUCUGGAGUACAGUAGAGGUGGGCGGAAUUCGUGGUGUAGCGGUGAAGUGCUUAGAUAUCACGAAGAACUCCGAUUGCGAAGGCAGCUUACUGGACUGCAACUGACACUGAUGCUCGAAAGUGUGGGUAUCAAACAGGAUUAGAUACCCGUGUAGUC